Molecule: non-coding RNA, 406 nt
Organism: Salvelinus sp. IW2-2015
Lineage: Eukaryota; Metazoa; Chordata; Actinopteri; Salmoniformes; Salmonidae
Source: RefSeq, a predicted model, not a curated record
AACCCUUUUUUUCUAAGAGUGAAUGCUAUAUASGCAUAGUAAGUUAGAGUGCCUUGUCAAGUUUUCACCCCCUUGCACAGAGUAAGCUGUAUAGAUCAGUCAGUGAAAAAUAAUGUCCUAAUUUGAACUAAUUGAAAGGUGCUAUUUGUGCUUUAAUACCAACAGAAGGAGGAGCUGAAUUCAAAGGAGAUGGUUGAUUAUCAGCUCAUUGACCAGGAUGUUAAGGCUCUGAAUGAUGCUGUGAAUGGUAAGAAAAAGGACCCAGCCCCCUGGAUUCAGGUGUUAACCACGAGAGACUCAAACCAUCUCAACAGAGUGCUAUCCAGGUUGGAGGAUCUGAGAGGGGAAACUGUGGAUAAAACAGUACAGAGUCACUUCUCUGGGGACCUGAGGCUUGGCUUCCGCA